UGAUCAUGGCUCAGAUUGAACGCUGGCGGCAGGCUUAACACAUGCAAGUCGAGCGGAGAGAGGUAGCUUGCUACUGAUCUUAGCGGCGGACGGGUGAGUAAUACUUAGGAAUCUGGCUAUUAGUGGGGGACAACAUUUCGAAAGGGAUGCUAAUACCGCAUACGUCCUACGGGAGAAAGCAGGGGAUCUUCGGACCUUGCGCUAAUAGAUGAGCCUAAGUCGGAUUAGCUAGUUGGGGGGGUAAAGGCCUACCAAGGCGACGAUCUGUAGCGGGUCUGAGAGGAUGAUCCGCCACACUGGGACUGAGACACGGCCCAGACUCCUACGGGAGGCAGCAGUGGGGAAUAUUGGACAAUGGGGGGAACCCUGAUCCAGCCAUGCCGCGUGUGUGAAGAAGGCCUUAUGGUUGUAAAGCACUUUAAGCGAGGAGGAGGGUACUGGUAUUAAUACUACCAGGUACUGGACGUUACUCGCAGAAUAAGCACCGGCUAACUCUGUGCCAGCAGCCGCGGUAAUACAGAGGGUGCGAGCGUUAAUCGGAUUUACUGGGCGUAAAGCGUGCGUAGGCGGCUAAUUGAGUCGGAUGUGA
Molecule: ribosomal RNA, 589 nt
Filed under: uncultured bacterium
Lineage: Bacteria
Description: bacterial SSU rRNA
Rfam family: Bacterial small subunit ribosomal RNA
Source: RNAcentral